UACGAAGGGGGCUAGCGUUGUUCGGAAUUAUUGGGCGUAAAGAGCUCGUAGGCGGUUUGUCGCGUCUGCUGUGAAAACUCGGGGCUUAACCCCGGGCCUGCAGUGGGUACGGGCAGACUAGAGUGCGGUAGGGGAGACUGGAAUUCCUGGUGUAGCGGUGAAAUGCGCAGAUAUCAGGAGGAACACCGGUGGCGAAGGCGGGUCUCUGGGCCGAUACUGACGCUGAGGAGCGAAAGCGUGGGGAGCGAACAGG
This 253-nucleotide ribosomal RNA is filed under the name uncultured bacterium. Its description in RNAcentral is "partial 16S ribosomal RNA". It matches the Rfam family "Bacterial small subunit ribosomal RNA", at positions 524 to 776 of the family's 1533-position model. The record is from RNAcentral.